AAUGUCAGGACUCAGCUGGCAGGGCUGUGCAGCUUGCUGCCAGCUCCGUUACCUCUGCUCCUUCACAGGUGUUCGUGGUUGGACGGUGGGCGGAGUGCGCACACCUGCAGCUCGUUCAGCAGCAUCUGAGCGUUCUAUAAGAACUGCGUCCGAACAGCGAGAGGACGCCAGAGUGUUUUCGUUGCGGUUUCCCUGUGUCUACGUGAACCCCGAAUGACUCUAGAGUUCCUCGACUCGACCAGACGUACCUCAGCUCAGGACGCGAGUCACACCAACUCUCUCUCCGGUUCCUCUCGCUGCUCUGGAUCCCUGGACGCCCUCGUUGCUGCUCGGACCCCCUCGCCCCGCUCUCCGUCGACCCGAACGCCUGCUCAAGACAAUCCAGCUGAGUCCUCCUUACCGUCUCCCCGCUCGGUUAACCAAUCCUCGUGGUUUCCCUGUGUCUACGUGAACCCCGAAUGACUCUAGAGUUCCUCGACUCGACCAGACGUACCUCAGCUCAGGACGCGAGUCACACCAACUCUCUCUCCGGUUCCUCUCGCUGCUCUGGAUCCCUGGACGCCCUCGUUGCUGCUCGGACCCCCUCGCCCCGCUCUCCGUCGACCCGAACGCCUGCUCAAGACAAUCCAGCUGAGUCCUCCUUACCGUCUCCCCGCUCGGUUAACCAAUCCUCGUGACUGGUCUGGUCCCUUGGUCCCGGGAUAAGUUCGAGCCGCCAUCGUCCCCCGCCCCGCAGACUAGCGCUGCGCUCCGUGUGCUCCCGAGUUAUUAAUAAAUCCUUGAAUUCUGA
Fundulus heteroclitus (mummichog) is the source of this 790-nucleotide long non-coding RNA. RefSeq lists it as uncharacterized. The transcript is spliced from 4 exons. The record is from RefSeq and is a predicted model, not a curated record. Lineage: Eukaryota; Metazoa; Chordata; Actinopteri; Cyprinodontiformes; Fundulidae.